CCUACGGGAGGCAGCAGUAGGGAAUAUUGCUCAAUGGGGGAAACCCUGAAGCAGCAACGCCGCGUGGAGGAUGAAGGUUUUCGGAUUGUAAACUUCUUUUGUUAGAGAAGAUAAUGACGGUACCUAACGAAUAAGCACCGGCUAACUCCGUGCCAGCAGCCGCGGUAAUACGGAGGGUGCAAGCGUUACUCGGAUUCACUGGGCGUAAAGAGCGCGUAGGCGGGAUAGCAAGUCAGAUGUGAAAUCCUAGGGCUUAACCAUAGAACUGCAUUUGAAACUGUUAUUCUAGAGUAUGGGAGAGGUAGGUGGAAUUCUUGGUGUAGGGGUAAAAUCCGUAGAGAUCAAGAGGAAUACUCAUUGCGAAGGCGACCUGCUAGAACAUAAAUGACGCUGAUGCGCGAAAGCGUGGGGAGCAAACAGGAUUAGAUACCCCGGUAGUC
RNAcentral lists this ribosomal RNA (440 nucleotides) under uncultured bacterium. RNAcentral describes it as "partial 16S ribosomal RNA". It matches the Rfam family "Bacterial small subunit ribosomal RNA", at positions 338 to 795 of the family's 1533-position model. The record is from RNAcentral.